This 89-nucleotide non-coding RNA is filed under the name Streptococcus canis. Its description in RNAcentral is "Spy1786666". It matches the Rfam family "S. pyogenes small RNA 1786666". Lineage: Bacteria; Bacillati; Bacillota; Bacilli; Lactobacillales; Streptococcaceae. The record is from RNAcentral.
CAAGGCAAAUUAAAAAGCGCAGUAUCUAAACUACGCUAGUUUCUUGCCUGCUGAACUCAUUAUUUGAUUGACCUAUUUUAGGUCUUUUU